UGGUGAUUUUCAAUACUGUAUGCCGUAACUGUAAACAGGCAAACUGUUUGAAAAUUACGUCC
Molecule: non-coding RNA, 62 nt
Filed under: Blattella germanica (German cockroach)
Lineage: Eukaryota; Metazoa; Arthropoda; Insecta; Blattodea; Blattellidae
Source: RNAcentral